GGAGGGGUUCCCGAGUGGCCAAAGGGAUCAGACUGUAAAUCUGCUGGCGGAUGCCUUCGGAGGUUCGAAUCCUUCCCCCUCCACCA
Molecule: transfer RNA, 86 nt
Filed under: Candidatus Cloacimonadota bacterium
Lineage: Bacteria; Pseudomonadati; Candidatus Cloacimonadota
Description: tRNA-Tyr
Rfam family: tRNA
About the family: Transfer RNA (tRNA) molecules are approximately 80 nucleotides in length. Their secondary structure includes four short double-helical elements and three loops (D, anti-codon, and T loops).
Source: RNAcentral